Molecule: long non-coding RNA, 258 nt
Filed under: Phoenix dactylifera (date palm)
Lineage: Eukaryota; Viridiplantae; Streptophyta; Magnoliopsida; Arecales; Arecaceae
Description: long non-coding RNA (PDAC_LNC011916)
Source: RNAcentral
ACUUCAUCCUCAAGUUGUUUGUCUUGUAUGGAGAACUCCUUCAUUCUGUCUUCAAGUAUACCUGCAUCACCAUCUUCUUCUUUUCUAGAAGAAUCUCCAUUAGCUUCAUCAAAAACAACAUGAAUGGAUUCUUCAACAAUGAGAGUUCUCUUGUUGAAGACCCUGUAUGCUCUACUAGAUGAGGAAUAACCUAAGAAGAUCCCCUCAUCUGAUUUAGCACUAAAUUUACUUAGAUUGUCCUUUCCAUUAUUUAAAAUA